This 1676-nucleotide ribosomal RNA is filed under the name Clostridioides difficile. RNAcentral's name for it is "partial 23S ribosomal RNA". It matches the Rfam family "Bacterial large subunit ribosomal RNA", at positions 1219 to 2907 of the family's 2925-position model. The record is from RNAcentral. Lineage: Bacteria; Bacillati; Bacillota; Clostridia; Peptostreptococcales; Peptostreptococcaceae.
UAAUGAUGGGUAGGGGAGCUUCCCAUACGGGUUGAAGCAUGACCGUAAGGACAUGUGGACAGUAUGGGAGUGAGAAUGUUGGCAUGAGUAGCGAGAUGUGGGUGAGAAUCCCACAGGCCGUAAACCCAAGGUUUCCAGGGGAAGGUUCGUCCGCCCUGGGUUAGUCGGGACCUAAGCUGAGGCCGAAAGGCGUAGGUGAUGGACAACAGGUUGAUAUUCCUGUACUACCGAUAACCGUUUGAGAGAAGGGAUGACACAGUAGGAUAAGCUAAGCACACUGUUGGUUAUGUGUGCCCAAGCAUUGAGGCAGUCAAAGCAGGCAAAUCCGCUUUGAUAAUGCUGGGAUGUGAUGGGGAGCGAAAUUUAGUAGCGAAGUAGCUGAUUUCACACUGUCAAGAAAAGUCUCUAUCGAGGUUAAAGGUACCCGUACCGCAAACCGACACAGGUGGGUGAGGAGAGUAUCCUAAGGCCAGCGAGAGAACUGUUGUUAAGGAACUCGGCAAAAUGACCCCGUAACUUAGGGAUAAGGGGUGCCACCAUCCGGUGGCCGCAGAGAAUAGGCCCAAGCGACUGUUUACCAAAAACAUAGGUUUCUGCUAAGUCGCAAGACGAUGUAUAGGAGCUGACGCCUGCCCGGUGCUGGAAGGUUAAGGGGAUCUGUUAGAGCAAUCGAAGCAGUGAACUUAAGCCCCAGUAAACGGCGGCCGUAACUAUAACGGUCCUAAGGUAGCGAAAUUCCUUGUCGGGUAAGUUCCGACCCGCACGAAAGGCGUAACGAUUUGGGCACUGUCUCAACAACAGACUCGGUGAAAUUGUAAUUCCGGUGAAGAUGCCGGAUACCUGCGACAGGACGGAAAGACCCCAUGGAGCUUUACUGUAGCUUGACAUUGGGUCUUGGUACUACAUGUACAGGAUAGGUGGGAGGCUUUGAAACCAGGACGCCAGUUUUGGCGGAGCCAUCCUUGGGAUACCACCCUUGUAGUACUGGGACUCUAACCAUAGGCCAUGAAUCUGGUCUUGGGACACUGUCAGGUGGGCAGUUUGACUGGGGCGGUCGCCUCCCAAAAGGUAACGGAGGCGCUCAAAGGUUCUCUCAGUACGGUCGGAAAUCGUACGUAGAGUGUAAAGGCAAAAGAGAGCUUGAUUGCAAGACAUACAGGUCGAGCAAGGAUGAAAAUCGGACUUAGUGAUCCGGUGGUUCUGCGUGGAAGGGCCAUCGCUCAACGGAUAAAAGCUACCCUGGGGAUAACAGGCUUAUCUCCCCCAAGAGUCCACAUCGACGGGGAGGUUUGGCACCUCGAUGUCGGCUCAUCACAUCCUGGGGCUGUAGUAGGUCCCAAGGGUUGGGCUGUUCGCCCAUUAAAGUGGUACGCGAGCUGGGUUCAGAACGUCGUGAGACAGUUCGGUCCCUAUCCGUCGCAGGCGUAGGAAAUUUGAGAAGACCUGUCCUUAGUACGAGAGGACCGGGAUGGACGUACCUCUGGUGUACCAGUUGUUCUGCCAAGGGCAUGGCUGGGUAGCUAUGUACGGAAUGGAUAAGCGCUGAAAGCAUCUAAGCGCGAAGCCAACUUCAAGAUAAGAUUUCCCACCGCAAGGGUAAGACCCCAGAAAGACUAUCUGGUUGAUAGGUCGAAGGUGUAAGUGCAGCAAUGUAUUUAGCUUAUCGAUACUAAUAG